CAUGGCUUUUUGUUAUUUAUAUAAGGUCUAACCUGCCCAAUGAUAAAAUUAAAUGGCCGCGGUACUUUGACCGUGCAAAGGUAGCAUAAUCAUUAGUUUUUUAAUUGAAAGCUGGAAUGAAAGGUUGAAUGAGAAAAUGACUGUCUUUGUGAUAUUUAAUUAAAAUUUUAUUUUUAAGUUAAAAAGCUUAAAUUAAAUUUAAAGACGAGAAGACCCUUUAGAGUUUUAUAAAAAAUUAGUUUUUGACUUUUUAGAAUUAACUAUAAGAAAAUUAAUUUUUAUUUAGUUGGGGCGAUUGAAAAAUUAAAUAAACUUUUUUUUUUAUUUAACAUUAAUUUAUGAAUAUUUGAUCCAUAUAUUAUGAUUAUAAGAUUAAAUUACCUAAGGGAUAACAGCGUUAUUUUUCUUGAGAGUUCUUAUCGAAAGAAGAGUUUGCGACCUCGAUGUUGGAUUAAAAUUAAAUUAUGGUGUAGAGGCUGUAAC
Molecule: ribosomal RNA, 483 nt
Filed under: Meligethes hammondi
Lineage: Eukaryota; Metazoa; Arthropoda; Insecta; Coleoptera; Nitidulidae
Description: partial large subunit ribosomal RNA
Rfam family: Bacterial large subunit ribosomal RNA
Source: RNAcentral